This 349-nucleotide unclassified non-coding RNA is filed under the name soil metagenome. RNAcentral's name for it is "partial contains 5.8S ribosomal RNA, internal transcribed spacer 2, and large subunit ribosomal RNA". The stretch from base 2 to 122 matches the Rfam family "5.8S ribosomal RNA", at positions 35 to 154 of the family's 154-position model. The record is from RNAcentral.
GGAUGAAGAACGUAGCGAAAUGCGAUAAGUAAUGCGAAUUGCAGAAUUUCCGUGAAUCAUCGAGUCUUUGAACGCACAUUGCGCCCCCUGGUAUUCCGGGGGGCAUGCCUGUCCGAGCGUCAUUGCUGCCCUCAAGCACGGCUUGUGUGUUGGGCCCCGUCCUCCGAUCCCGGGGGACGGGCCCGAAAGGCAGCGGCGGCACCGCGUCCGGUCCUCGAGCGUAUGGGGCUUUGUCACCCGCUCUGUAGGCCCGGCCGGCGCUUGCCGAUCAACCCAAAUUUUUUAUCCAGGUUGACCUCGGAUCAGGUAGGGAUACCCGCUGAACUUAAGCAUAUCAAUAAGCGGAGGA